RNAcentral lists this small RNA (4764 nucleotides) under Pongo abelii (Sumatran orangutan). Its description in RNAcentral is "processed transcript". The record is from RNAcentral. Lineage: Eukaryota; Metazoa; Chordata; Mammalia; Primates; Hominidae.
CUCCUUGCUGGGCCCUCUUGAACUCACAGCUCCAGGAAACUGGGAGACCUGUCCCUGAUGUUCCAGGGAGUCUCUGCUGCCCACCAUCUCUGCCCCCCAGGGCCCAGGAGCCACCAUGUGGCGAUGUCCACUGGGGCUACUGCUGUUGCUGCCGCUGGCUGGCCACGUGGCUCUGGGUGCCCAGCAGGGUCGUGGGCGCCGGGAGCUAGCACCGGGUCUGCACCUGCGGGGCAUCCGGGACGCGGGAGGCCGGUACUGCCAGGAGCAGGACCUGUGCUGCCGCGGCCGUGCCGACGACUGUGCCCUGCCCUACCUGGGCGCCAUCUGUUACUGUGACCUCUUCUGCAACCGCACGAUCUCCGACUGCUGCCCUGACUUCUGGGACUUCUGCCUCGGCGUGCCACCCCCUUUUCCCCCGAUCCAAGGAUGUAUGCAUGGAGGUCGUAUCUAUCCAAUCUUGGGAACCUACUGGGACAACUGUAACCGUUGCACCUGCCAGGAGAACAGGCAGUGGCAGUGUGACCAAGAACCAUGCCUGGUGGAUCCAGACAUGAUCAAAGCCAUCAACCAGGGCAACUAUGGGUGAGAGGCCCUAGAAGCACCCUCAGUGGGCACACAUGCAUACUCAUGCAUGUAUACACGCAUGCUGUGCUGUGAGGCACGUCCAGCAGGCCACUCCUACACCCCUACACCCAGAUUUGAUUGUGUGUGCACUCAGCCACUGUGCGUCUCUCCCACCCACAUGCACCUACCCCAAGGACCCUGAGCCCUGGCAGAUCUGUGACUUCCUUCCAUCCCCUCUCCUUCAGCUGGCAGGCUGGGAACCACAGCGCCUUCUGGGGCAUGACCCUGGAUGAGGGCAUUCGCUACCGCCUGGGCACCAUCCGCCCAUCUUCCUCGGUCAUGAACAUGCAUGAAAUUUAUGUAAGUCCAUCCUUUCCCACAAUCCUGCCAUCUCCCCAUGGCUCAGAACCUCAGGGAUGCUGGCCCUGUGCCCUGCUCCUCCAAGGGCCUGGACCAUCCCCUACUACAAGGCUGUGUGUCCCUGGGCAAGUUACUCCCCUUCUCUGGGCCUCUGUUCCCUGCUUCCACAGGAUGUGCUGCGCUGGAAGAACUGAUGCUCAGAUUGAAUUUUGUGGUCCUAGCAUCGGCUCCCCCCUGAUCUCUCCAGCCUGGGAAAAAUGCUGUUGGUCUCAGUACAGCUGGGUUAGGGCCCAAGGGGACAGGGGGUCACCUUGGUAUUUUGGGAAGGGAAGGACACACACUCCUCCAGCUGUGGCCAGAGGGCAGCAGUUCUCGGAAAUAAACGCCGAUUCAGCGGAACCCCAAGGGAGGAGAGGGCUUCUGCCUUCCCACCAGUGGGACCCUCUGGGAGAGGAAUGAGAACCAGGCCCAAAGUGAAAGGGUGAGGAAGGGGAGCUUCAGCAGGCCUGGACUGGGACAUGUGCUGGAGCAUUUGUCCAUCAGCGGCAGGCAGCGGGGAGGCAGGGGCUGGCAGGAGUGGCCCUCCCUGCGGAGACUUCGGCCUUGGGUGACCAGACCCUGGCCCUGCCCUUAUUCCCCUGGGCCUCUGGCUAUUUUCUGCCUCCUGCUGUUUGUGUUGGCAGUCUGCCUGGUCACGGGACCCUACUGCCUCUUCCCUCCCCUGCCCUUUGGGGCCUGAAGCUAAGGCCUGAAGAAAGCUAAGGCCGAUCAGAAGGUGAAGAGGAAAGAGACAGGGGUUGAGAAUGGAAAGCUGAGGGACCUGGCCUGGCCACUUCUCUGUGCCUGGCCUCAGCUGCCUCAUCUGGGAAGCAGGACUAGUCACCCCCACCUGAUACCUGGGAGGCACUAAAUGGUGCUUGGUUCUUCAACACAAGUCAAAGUUGGAGGCAGCUGGAAUCCUGCAGUAGCAGGAGGGCUCAAGAUUAAACUGCAGAAGGCCCUGGACUUGGUGGCCCUCCAGUGCCAAUGGGCACCUGAGGGGCAGGCCAGGGCAGAGCAGGAGGCAGACAGGGCAACCUUUAUCCUGCAGACAGUGCUGAACCCAGGGGAGGUGCUUCCCACGGCCUUCGAGGCCUCUGAGAAGUGGCCCAACCUGAUUCAUGAGCCUCUUGACCAGGGCAACUGCGCAGGCUCCUGGGCCUUCUCCACAGCGGCUGUGGCAUCCGAUCGUGUCUCAAUCCAUUCUCUGGGACACAUGACGCCUGUCCUGUCGCCCCAGAACCUGCUGUCUUGUGACACCCACCAGCAGCAGGGCUGCCGCGGUGGGCGUCUCGAUGGUGCCUGGUGGUUCCUGCGUCGCCGAGGGUAUGCAGCAACAGGGCACGUGGGCAGAGAAGAGGGCAAGGAGCUCCGUGGGCGUGGCCUGGGCCAUGAUGCACUGAGUCUUUCUGCCUUUGCUCCCUCUUGCUGCCUUUGCAGGGUGGUGUCUGACCACUGCUACCCCUUCUCGGGCCGCGAACGAGACGAGGCUGGCCCUACGCCCCCCUGCAUGAUGCACAGCCGAGCCAUGGGUCGGGGCAAGCGCCAGGCCACUGCCAGCUGCCCCAACAGCCAUGUUAAUAACAAUGACAUCUACCAGGUCACUCCUGUCUACCGCCUUGGCUCCAACGACAAGGAGAUCAUGAAGGAGCUGAUGGAGAAUGGCCCUGUCCAAGGUAAACCCCCUCAUCCAGCACCCUGGUUCCAGAAGCUUGUGCCUGCUUGAGACUGGGCACAGUGGCACAAGUGGUCUGCACAGCAUUCAGCAGCAUGUCCAGUGGGGCUGGGAGUAGGGGGUCCUCCCCUCCCACAGGCAGUGCCUGGAGGGAGCACUUAGAGCUUUGGUAUGGAGGGACCCUGGUGCCUGGGCACACCUCAACAGACUCAGGCACCAGUGCCUGUACCAAUGGGCUGAGUGGACCCUACCUUGACAUCUGCCCACAGCCCUCAUGGAGGUGCACGAGGACUUCUUCCUAUACAAGGGAGGCAUCUACAGCCACACGCCAGUGAGCCUUGGGAGGCCAGAGAGAUACCGCCGGCACGGGACCCACUCAGUCAAGAUCACAGGGUGAGGGGCGUGUGGGCAGAGGGGGUUGGGGACAGCAGGGUUUGUGCGAGGGGCUCUGGAGCCUGCCUUGGGUUCUUACAACCUCUCUAAAGAGCCAGGACUGCUCUCAUCAUUUCAAUAGGGAGAAAACUGAGACUCAGAAAGAGAAAGGACUUGCCCUGGGUCGAACUGAAGGUUGGGAGCCUCUGAAGGCUUUUUUAGGAACCGUUCCUUCCUGACAUCGGGAUAAAAUAACCCCAAUGAAAUAUGAAGAGAGCCUCAGGAGUUUCUCAACUUCUCCCCACCUCAGCACCUGUCCCAGCUCUGCCUGACCCACCGAGUGACCUGGGAGGUUGCUCCCCUGGCCUCAGUUUCCCUAUCCGAUUUAGGGAAUAUAGAUGUUAGGAUCACUGACUUCAAUGAACUCAGUGAAAUGUGCUUUACGGUGGGAAUUGGGGGUCUCUAAGAUACCCAUAUUCUCAGAGUGUCUUUCUUCUGGCCCUUUGCACCUACCCCUCCCUGGAUACCCAAGUGUGGGAGGGCAGGUGGAUGUGUGGUCCCACAGAACGGGCCCCCAGGAGGUGGGUCUCUGGAGGACCCAGGUUCCCUCCUCUUCUGCUCACCUCCCCUCCACUUGUCCCGUUGGUGCCCCACCCCCUCCCGUGCUGGGCCUGGGUACACCGACUUACAGAUGUGAGAGUGAGGGAGAUGCAGAGAGGUACAGAGACCUGCCUGAGCCCUAAGGGUGUACCCAACCCUCCAAAGGCAACUGGGGGCUGGAUGGGGCAGGUUUCCUGGAUUGGAGCUCCUGAGAGCAGGUAGACCCAGCGCCCUUCCCUCUCCCCUGCUCUGCCCGCAGAUGGGGAGAGGAGACGCUGCCAGAUGGAAGGACGCUCAAAUACUGGACUGCGGCCAACUCCUGGGGCCCAGCCUGGGGCGAGAGGGGCCACUUCCGCAUCGUGCGCGGCGUCAAUGAGUGCGACAUCGAGAGCUUCGUGCUGGGCGUCUGGGGCCGCGUGGGCAUGGAGGACAUGGGUCAUCACUGAGGCUGCGGGCACUACGCGGGGUCCGGCCUGGGAUCCAGGCUGAGGGCCGGCGGAAGAGGCCCCAAUGGGGCGGUGACCCCAGCCUCGCCCGACAGAGCCCCGGGCGCAGGCGGGCGCCAGGGCGCUAAUCCCGGCGCGGGUUCCGCUGACGCAGCGCCCCGCCUGGGAGCCGCGGGCAGGCGAGGCUGGCGGAGCCCCCAGACCUCCCAGUGGGGACGGGGCAGGGCCUGGCCUGGGAAGAGCACAGCUGCAGAUCCCAGGCCCCUGGCGCCCCCACUCAAGACUACCAAAGCCAGGACACCUCAAGUCUCCAGCCCCACUACCCCACCCCACUCCUGUAUUUUUAUUUUUUUUUUUUUGACAGGGUCUUGCUCCGUUGCCCAGGCUGGAAUGCAGUGGCCCAUCAGGGCUCACUGUAACCUCCCACUCCUGGGCUCAAGUGACCCUCCCACCUCAGCCUGUCAAGUAGCUGGGACUACAGGUGCACCACCACACCUGGCUAAUUUUUGUAUUUUUUGUAAAGAGGGGGGGAGGUCUCACUAUGUUGCCCAGGCUGGUCUCGAACUCCUGGGCUCAAGCGGUCCACCUGCCUCCGCCUCCCAAAGUGCUGGGAUUGCAGGCAUGAGCCACUGCACCCAGCCCUGUAUUCUUAUUCUUCAGAUAUUUAUUUUUCUUUUCACUGUUUUAAAAUAAAACCCAAGUAUUGAU